GAUGAACGCUGGCGGCGUGCCUAAUACAUGCAAGUCGAGCGAACAGACGAGGAGCUUGCUCCUCUGACGUUAGCGGCGGACGGGUGAGUAACACGUGGAUAACCUACCUAUAAGACUGGGAUAACUUCGGGAAACCGGAGCUAAUACCGGAUAAUAUAUUGAACCGCAUGGUUCAAUAGUGAAAGACGGUUUUGCUGUCACUUAUAGAUGGAUCCGCGCCGCAUUAGCUAGUUGGUAAGGUAACGGCUUACCAAGGCAACGAUGCGUAGCCGACCUGAGAGGGUGAUCGGCCACACUGGAACUGAGACACGGUACAGACUCCUACGGGAGGCCGCAGUAGGGAAUCUUACGCAAUGGGCGAAAGCCUGACAGAGCAACGCCGCGUGAGUGAUGAAGGUCUUCGGAUCGUAAAGCUCUGUUAUUAGGGAAGAACAAAUGUGUAAGUACCUAUGCUCGUAUUGACGGUACCUGGUGAAAAAGCCACGGCUAACUACGUG
Molecule: ribosomal RNA, 497 nt
Filed under: uncultured bacterium
Lineage: Bacteria
Description: partial 16S ribosomal RNA
Rfam family: Bacterial small subunit ribosomal RNA
Source: RNAcentral